Molecule: long non-coding RNA, 1622 nt
Organism: Dermacentor silvarum
Lineage: Eukaryota; Metazoa; Arthropoda; Arachnida; Ixodida; Ixodidae
Exons: 3
Source: RefSeq, a predicted model, not a curated record
UCCCUCAUUUGUGGUUUUACCAUGGGUUCACCAAACCAAAUGGCCUACCGAUUACGGUUAACUUCCAACCCCCACAAGUUAUCCGAUUUUAAGCAUGGAAUGGCAUUUUAAGCAUAGAAUGAUGGGCAGCGGUGAGCACCAUCUGGAUGGUGUUGCAAGGGACCUGGCGGGCCCCACUGCUCCAUGAAUGGUAGAAAUGCUGGAAAAGGGGUUUCUGUUUGAGUUUCCGCGUAACAUAAUUAUGUUUUCUCGUAUAUUGAAAUUACAAUCCGACGCUACCAUGUCUGUAGCUUGUGUUUAGGUCGUACUCGGAGCUCCAACUAAAAAGUUGGAAGGCGCUUAAGCUUCAGUGACUCCAAGCCUGCAGUCUACAACUACGCAGUUGGACAGGUGGCACCCUUGGCCUCCGGUAUCUUGCGUUCCGACACUGAUCCCUCUCGCCUAAUCCAAAUCAUCUGGGUUAUCACCCACGCGGCCCAUUCUGGCAACAAGGCGGCCAAUUCCAUCGCUCGCGAUUCGACUGACCGAGCAAGCCCACCCUCGCCGGAAAUGGAUAUGCAUGACGCGCUCCUCACUACGGCCACCUGGAUUGGCGCGCGUGGUGGGGUUGCUACGGCCGUCCCAUUCGACGCGCGCCCCAUUGAAAAAAUGUAAUUGAGGAAGUUCUUCCGCGUGCCGCAUGGCGGCGCUGGACUUUAACCCCCCUGCUGACGAACUCGCGGAUGUGGAGAUGCUUGUAGAGAUGCGCAUUUGACAUCGUGCACGUGGUGAAGAUGGCUUGAUCGUUGGCCCAGAAGUGUAUUGACAGCUUCAGGAAACUGCACGAGAAUCAAGUGCUACCACCACCUUCAACUGUGGAAAAUUCUGCAAUAGCAGACAUCGCUGGUUUCAUUGUGAAGGCAGUCGAAGAACGGAGAACAUGCAGCGCCUGUCCAAGUCUACACAAAUCAACAUCAGCAUCAACAGUAAUGGGACUCAUUAUUCGCAAAACAAGGGAUGGUUUGGUGCUCCCGAAGCCCGAGUUUGCUGCUGACCUCGUUAACGUAAAAAGGCCGUUGACAUCGCAGAGCCACAUAUUGGCAAGGAUGAUGUGUGCAAAAAAUUGGCAGGGGGAUUUGAUUUGUUCACACUUAGAGAGCUGCCCUCUUUUUACUUGCCAGGCAAACGAAGAGCAUCCACCAGUGACUUCUUCAAUAGUUGCAAGCAAAUUUAUAAAGGCCCUACUGUCAAACAUCGGCGCAGCCUUUAGAGACACAGCGGCUUACCACACAAAAAACUAAUGAAUAAGGCACUGAGCCGCAAAGUUCUGCACGGUUGAAGAGAGCACUACGAGUGCGCAAGGGCUGUGAGUUUGCCGUUGUAAAUAAAUUAUUGUAUGCGUUGUGAAUGUGUUAUGCUGGCAAUUUCACCUUGAAUACAAACAUGGCAUGCACGUACAUACAGAUGGCUCAGAAAGUUGCUGAAAGAUGUCUGUCCGUGGCUGUCGCCUCUAAGUAAGCAGCUUGAUACUUUGUGCAGGAAGACACGCGAUGAGUUCGCCUUUUGAUGAACAAAAUAAAAUAAAACAUGAGCCCAUUAGCAUGCACAGAUACAAGACUGCCGCGACUUCGGCGCUCCAUUAC